This 73-nucleotide transfer RNA is filed under the name Monodelphis domestica (gray short-tailed opossum). It matches the Rfam family "tRNA". Rfam says of the family: Transfer RNA (tRNA) molecules are approximately 80 nucleotides in length. Their secondary structure includes four short double-helical elements and three loops (D, anti-codon, and T loops). Further hydrogen bonds mediate the characteristic L-shaped molecular structure. tRNAs have two regions of fundamental functional importance: the anti-codon, which is responsible for specific mRNA codon recognition, and the 3' end, to which the tRNAs corresponding amino acid is attached (by aminoacyl-tRNA synthetases). tRNAs cope with the degeneracy of the genetic code in two manners: having more than one tRNA (with a specific anti-codon) for a particular amino acid; and 'wobble' base-pairing, i.e. permitting non-standard base-pairing at the 3rd anti-codon position. The record is from Rfam by way of RNAcentral. Lineage: Eukaryota; Metazoa; Chordata; Mammalia; Didelphimorphia; Didelphidae.
AUCUGGGUGGCUCAGUGGAUUGAGGGCCAGGCCUAGAAACAGGAGGUGCUAGGUUCAAAUCUGGCCUCAGAUA